UUAAGUUCAGCGGGUAGUCCUACCUGAUUUGAGGCCAGAGUCAAAAGGUGCGCAAUGGCAGGUUCUGAGCGGGCGGUUACAAGCAAGGGACAAGACGAAACUUAUUACGUCCGUCACGGAUGCGAGCGAUCCCACUGAGUCAUUUGAGGCGAGCCAUGUGACUGGCAGACACCCAAGUCCAAGUCCAACAUCGGAUCAUA
RNAcentral lists this unclassified non-coding RNA (200 nucleotides) under fungal sp. RNAcentral's name for it is "partial internal transcribed spacer 2". The record is from RNAcentral. Lineage: Eukaryota; Fungi.